GUGAAUCAGUAAGCACGACAUUUUCAUUAAAAAUUUGAUUUAUUUUCGAUUUGAAUAUGGAGAAUAUUGUAAUUCGUUCACCUGGCCGCUUCAGGAUCAGUUCAAUUAUUUUCUGCAGAGGCGAGAAAAAUUCUUAUAUUCCAAAGAAACCAUUAUAGCAAGAGGUCAGCAGGUUAACUUAUUAAAUAUAAUUCUUGAAAAUAAGGAAAAUCAACUGCCAAAUUAUCUCUGAGAGGAUCGAUUCGAGGUACUAAUUAUUUAAUUUUAAAUAAAGCGUUAUUACUCAUUUAUGUACAUAUAAGCGACUAAUUAUUCCAAUGAAUGGCUAAAAAGUGCUUCGUCAGCAUACGAAAUACCAGGAGACCAUAGAUGAGCAGCAAGAGGAAAUAUGAAUAAUUCACUAGCACCACCUGGAUUUCAAGUAGCAUUUUACAAGAAAUCUAGGCCUAAUGAAAUUUUCUUAUAUUCUACCAGGCCAACAAAAGUGACUAGCAGGUGGCUGUAGACAAAUUCACUUGCGGCACGUGGUUAGAUGAAAGCUCGCAUAGUCCCGCUCUUAGGAUCCACAUAUUAGAGCUUACGUUCGGACAAAUUGACCAAUGGCAUCAAGACAUAUUUGUAAAUCAAUCCACUUGCUAUUCUAUUAUGUUCGCCUGGUAUUUCAGCUGCUCCACGUUGCAGUUCACUAUGCUUCUCGUCUACAUUUAUCAGCACCGUGCAUAACUGCCAACAGAAUAAAUGUUGCCCAUCCCACAGGACAAAAUAAAUUAUUAAUUUGCGUUAUAAGUGUAAUAUUUAUUUAUUUAAAUUGUA
Drosophila albomicans is the source of this 813-nucleotide long non-coding RNA. RefSeq lists it as uncharacterized. The transcript has 3 exons. The record is from RefSeq and is a predicted model, not a curated record. Lineage: Eukaryota; Metazoa; Arthropoda; Insecta; Diptera; Drosophilidae.